CCGCCCGUAGUCUAGUGGAUAGGCCGCCGCCUUCUAAGCGGCUAUACGCAGGUUCGAAUCCUGCCGGGCGGGC
Molecule: transfer RNA, 73 nt
Filed under: compost metagenome
Description: tRNA-Arg
Rfam family: tRNA
About the family: Transfer RNA (tRNA) molecules are approximately 80 nucleotides in length.
Source: RNAcentral